Long non-coding RNA from Olea europaea var. sylvestris, 65 nucleotides. RefSeq lists it as uncharacterized. The transcript is spliced from 3 exons. NCBI's taxonomy places the organism in Eukaryota, Viridiplantae, Streptophyta, Magnoliopsida, Lamiales, Oleaceae. The record is from RefSeq and is a predicted model, not a curated record.
CUCUGAUACCAAAUUUGUUAGUGCGGAAACGAAGUGUUGAAAAAAAACUUGAAUUUUUAUUGAUA